This is a non-coding RNA of Musa acuminata subsp. malaccensis (wild Malaysian banana), 1143 nucleotides long. NCBI's taxonomy places the organism in Eukaryota, Viridiplantae, Streptophyta, Magnoliopsida, Zingiberales, Musaceae. The record is from RefSeq and is a predicted model, not a curated record.
GCGUGAGAGGCGGAUACCCGGCGAAUCGGGCGUCUCCGGUAAUCGCUGCUUCGCUAACGGGAAGCAUCGUUUGAGACCCAAGGCUGUGGUGAACAAGGUGACCAUGGAACUCUCUUCUACUUGAGCAUGGUCUUGCCGACUCCUCAUUGAGGGCCUUGUUUCUUGCUUGCUAGGGCGGUGGGCGGCACCGGUUUCCAUUUCCGAUGUGGAAUCUCUCGUUCCUUCUCUGUUUAGUCACAGAGAGUAUCGCGUCGCUUAUAUAUUUCUUCUUAAACUCGACUCAGAGUACUGUUCAUCUGGAUAAAGCUCUGCUCCUGGAGAUACUUCAUGGGGUCAUGCCUCUCUUCUUUCUUUCACUCUGGAGUGACCACAAACCAGGAAAUAUAGCAGAUUGCUCAAGCCCAACAUGGCUCUCAGGUAGUACUAGUAUUCUACCCUGCCAAUGUUAAUGUUAUCAUCCAGAUUGCCAGUGCUCCUUCGUAUGACAAUGAUGAGGAAAGCGCACAAAUUUAUUCCCACCGCUGCUCGCUGCAUAAUCUCCAGGAAUCUACAGUCUUUUCCACCUUGUCUUGUGGCGCCGCAGUGAGAAUGUUCUCUUCCUGAACACAGCCACAAGGUCCUGCACAACACCUGAGAACACGCUGUUCUUGGGCAGCACAAAGAUGAUGGGAGGAGCAUCCGGCCACCGGGAUGCCAAACUGACAAGCCCAGCUGAAGCUUUCUUGUAUUUAGACCAUAAUCGUGAAGGCCGUGACCAUGCUGCAGUGGUGUAGUUGUACCAGCUAAAGAAGCUGCUGUGGCCACACUGCUCCUGCUUUAUGGUGCAGUCAAAUCGGUCGAUGCCGAAGACUUCGCAGGGGUGAACACUGGUGGAGCCGAGACAAAGGAGGCGAGGCAGAGGAAUAGCGCCCACCCACUGAGAAUAGAAUGGAAGAGGCCCGAACACCAAGUGCCUUGUUCCACUUGUCUACACAUCGGAGGACUGCGGCCGUCAGCGUCAGGAUCACCAUUCCCUGCAUGCAUCUAUCACGUUGAUAGAUCUAGAAGGUAUCACUGUACUACAAUAUGUUUCAAAAUACAGUUGCAAUCUUCAAUGUAUAAUUGCAUAAAAUUUAGGUACGAAAAAUAUGUACGAAUUGACCA